UGGGGAAUUUUGGACAAUGGGCGCAAGCCUGAUCCAGCCAUGCCGCGUGUCUGAAGAAGGCCUUCGGGUUGUAAAGGACUUUUGUCAGGGAAGGAAAGGAUAGGGUUAAUACCCCUGUCUGAUGACGGUACCUGAAGAAUAAGCACCGGCUAACUACGUGCCAGCAGCCGCGGUAAUACGUAGGGUGCGAGCGUUAAUCGGAAUUACUGGGCGUAAAGCGGGCGCAGACGGUUACUUAAGCAGGAUGUGAAAUCCCCGGGCUCAACCUGGGAACUGCGUUCUGAACUGGGUGACUAGAGUGUGUCAGAGGGAGGUAGAAUUCCACGUGUAGCAGUGAAAUGCGUAGAGAUGUGGAGGAAUACCGAUGGCGAAGGCAGCCUCCUGGGAUAACACUGACGUUCAUGCCCGAAAGCGUGGGUAGCAAACAGGAUUAGAUACCCUGGUAGUCCACGCCCUAAACGAUGUCGAUUAGCUGUUGGGCAGCUUGACUGCUUAGUAGCGAAGCUAACGCGUGAAAUCGACCGCCUGGGGAGUACGGUCGCAAGAUUA
RNAcentral lists this ribosomal RNA (549 nucleotides) under uncultured bacterium. Its description in RNAcentral is "bacterial SSU rRNA". It matches the Rfam family "Bacterial small subunit ribosomal RNA", at positions 355 to 896 of the family's 1533-position model. The record is from RNAcentral.